GCGCGCGUGCGCACUGGCGCGCGCCCGGCAGGAAAAAGCCCAGCGCGAGACCCCGCGCGCGCGCGCGCGUUCGAAAGGGAAAAAAAAAGUCUUCCCCGCGGGGGCCCGCGGCAAUUUAGGCCGGAGUUGGCCGGCGAGCGCGCGUGCGCGAGCGCGCAUAGACGCCUUUCUCCACAGCUCCCCUCGGUUGGGGGUCUAGCGCUGUGUUCCGCUGCUCCUGCUUCUCCAGAGGCUCGCGCCCUCGGGAGCAAGGAACGCAAUCAACGGGUUGGAGUCUACAGAAGACACACCUCCAUCCCUCACGCCCCUCGGGGCUGCGGAAGUACUCAGGAGACUCGAGCGGCACGGAGACGACAGGUGGACUACCAUUCCCAGAAGGCGGCGCGGCGCCGCGCCUACUGCUCCCGGCAGCGCCUGCGCGUCAGGCUUUUUUCAGUUUGCGGCCGCCUAGAGCGAAACUACAGUUCCCAGGAGGCCUCGCGCGAGGCGGCUUGGAAGUGGGCAGCCUGGAAGUCACUCGGGCCACUGGAGCUGGCGGCGUCUCCAGCAAGCGGCGCGGAUCUGAACGCCGCGGUCGUGGGGCCCGCGGGGCGGGCAGCUGGGAGACCCAGAUGCACAGUCUUUGACCUCAGCUCUCCUGGGACCCAUAAGGAGCACUAGUGUCCAGAACGUACCAAGGCAUGGCAGGGAAGGCGGCCCUGCAGCCCGCCAGCCUUCACACACAACUGCUGCUCUCUCUGCCCCGCUGACCCACUCAGUCUGGAGGCCCUGGGACAGCGCCUGCCUCGAGAGGUUGUCCAGGCACUGCUGUCCACAGCGAUGGUGGAGAAUUGGACUCCACAGGCUCACAACCUUCCCAUCAGGCUUCAGGGGCCAGCAUCCUUCAUCCUAGGACUGGUGGCCCUGAACAAUGGCUGAGGGCCAGGGGACCCCAUAAAGUUAGGCUACAGCUUUCAGGGGCCAGCAGCACUCCAGCGCCCGUGGACUAUGACCACCUAUCGGCCCAUCCCCAGUGAUGGUGUGGACCUGGCAGCCAGCUGUGGGGCCAGGGCGGCCGAUGUCCUGCCCGGGCCGCACACAGGGGACUACGCUCCCUUGGGAUUCUGGGUGCAGAACGGCAGCGUGCCCCAGCCCGCGGGCGAGAGCACGGUCAGCGCCCCCACCCGCCCCAGCCCCACCCCCUCUGCCAUGCCCAUCACACGCCUCCGCGCCCGCUGGAUCGUGCACAGGUU
RNAcentral lists this long non-coding RNA (1232 nucleotides) under Ovis aries (sheep). Its description in RNAcentral is "lncRNA (ENSOARG00000026923.1)". Lineage: Eukaryota; Metazoa; Chordata; Mammalia; Artiodactyla; Bovidae. The record is from RNAcentral.